Molecule: ribosomal RNA, 467 nt
Filed under: uncultured bacterium
Lineage: Bacteria
Description: partial 16S ribosomal RNA
Rfam family: Bacterial small subunit ribosomal RNA
Source: RNAcentral
GACGAACGCUGGCGGCGUGCUUAACACAUGCAAGUCGAACGGAAAGGCCCUGCUUUUGUGGGGUGCUCGAGUGGCGAACGGGUGAGUAACACGUGAGUAACCUGCCCUUGACUUUGGGAUAACUUCAGGAAACUGGGGCUAAUACCGGAUAGGAGCUCCUGCUGCAUGGUGGGGGUUGGAAAGUUUCGGCGGUUGGGGAUGGACGCGCGGAUUAUCAGCUUGUUGGUGGGGUAGUGGCUUACAAAGGCUUUGACGGGUAGCCGGACUGAGAGGGUGACCGGCCACAUUGGGACUGAGAUACGGCCAUGACUGCCACGGAGGCCAGCAGUGGGGACUAUUGCACAAUGGGCGAAGGCUUGAUGCAGAAACGCCGCGUGGGGGAUGAAGGCCUUCGGGUUGUAACCCGCUUUGGCUUGUGACGAGGCGUCAGUAACGGUACCGGGUAAAGAAGCACCGGCUAACUAAGU